RNAcentral lists this non-coding RNA (952 nucleotides) under Nothobranchius vosseleri. RNAcentral's name for it is "12S ribosomal RNA". It matches the Rfam family "Bacterial small subunit ribosomal RNA". Lineage: Eukaryota; Metazoa; Chordata; Actinopteri; Cyprinodontiformes; Nothobranchiidae. The record is from RNAcentral.
ACAAAGUUUGGUCCUGACUUCACUGUCAAUUUUUACUAAAAUUACACAUGCAAGUAUCCGCAUUCCCGUGAAACUUCCUUAAACCUUCUUCUGAGUUUUAAGAGACGGCAUCAGGCGCAAUAGAAAAAUUUUAGCCCAAAACGCCCGGCUCCGCCACACCCCCAAGGGAAUUCAGCAGUGAAAAAUAUUAAGUAAUAAGCGAAAGCUUGACUUAGUUAUAGUUUUUAGGGCCGGUAAAGCUCGUGCCAGCCACCGCGGUCAUACGAGAGGCUCAAAUUGACCGUUAUCGGCGUAAAGCGUGUUUUAGGAAUAGCUAAACUAAAGUAGAAUUAAUCCAAAACUGUUAUAAGUAUUUGUAUAAAAGAAAAACUCUUACGAAAGUAACUUUAAAUAUCCUGAAUACACGAGAGCUAUGAAACAAACUGGGAUUAGAUACCCCACUAUGCGUAGCUUUAAACCUUAAUAUAAAAAUACAUCUAUAUUCGCCCGGGUACUACGAGCAUAAGCUUAAAACCCAAAGGAUUUGGCGGUGCUUUAACCCCACCUAGAGGAGCCUGUUCUAUAACCGACAACCCCCGUUAAACCUUACCUUCUCUUGUUGUUUAACCCGUCUAUAUACCGCCGUCGUCAGCUUACCCUGUGAAGGGAACUAAGUAAGCAAAAUUGAUAAAAUCCAAAACGCCAGGUCGAGGUAUAGCAUAUGAGAAGGGAAGAAAUGGGCUACAUUUUCUAUAUCAGAAUAUACGGAAAUUAUUAUGAAAUAUAAUACUUUAAAGGAGGAUUUAGUAGUAAGUAAGGAACAGAGUGUCUUGCUGAAAUUGGCCCUAAAGCACGCACACACCGCCCGUCACUCUCCCUAAGCCUCUAAAAAUAAUUCAUAAUACAAAACUAAGUCAGUAGGGGAGAAAAGUCGUAACAUGGUAAGUAUACCGGAAGGUGUACUUGGCUAACC